This 352-nucleotide unclassified non-coding RNA is filed under the name soil metagenome. RNAcentral's name for it is "partial contains 5.8S ribosomal RNA, internal transcribed spacer 2, and large subunit ribosomal RNA". The stretch from base 1 to 120 matches the Rfam family "5.8S ribosomal RNA", at positions 35 to 154 of the family's 154-position model. The record is from RNAcentral.
GAUGAAGAACGUAGCGAAAUGCGAUAAGUAAUGUGAAUUGCAGAAUUCAGUGAAUCAUCGAAUCUUUGAACGCAUAUUGCGCCCGCCAGUAUUCUGGCGGGCAUGCCUGUUCGAGCGUCAUUACAACCCUCAGGCCCCCGGGCCUGGCGUUGGGGAUCGGCGGAGCCCCCCGUGGGCACACGCCGUCCCCCAAAUACAGUGGCGGUCCCGCCGCAGCUUCCAUCGCGUAGUAGCUAACACCUCGCGACUGGAGAGCGGCGCGGCCACGCCGUAAAACACCCAACUCUUCUGAAGUUGACCUCGAAUCAGGUAGGAAUACCCGCUGAACUUAAGCAUAUCAAUAAGCGGAGGA